CACGUAGGGCGCAAGCGUUGUCCGGAAUUAUUGGGCGUAAAGAGCUCGUAGGCGGUCUGUUGCGUCCGCUGUGAAAACUCGGGGCUUAACCCCGAGCCUGCAGUGGAUACGGGCAGACUAGAGGUAGGUAGGGGAGAAUGGAAUUCCCGGUGUAGCGGUGAAAUGCGCAGAUAUCGGGAGGAACACCAGUGGCGAAGGCGGCGACCUGGGCCAAUAUUGACGCUGAGGUGCGAAAGCGUGGGGAGCAAACAGG
Molecule: ribosomal RNA, 253 nt
Filed under: uncultured bacterium
Lineage: Bacteria
Description: partial 16S ribosomal RNA
Rfam family: Bacterial small subunit ribosomal RNA
Source: RNAcentral